GCCCUAGUAACGGCGAGUGAAGCGGCAACAGCUCAAAUUUGAAACCUGGCGCUUGCGCCCGGAUUGUAAUUUGUAGAGGAUGCUUCUGGGCAGCGGCCGGUCUAAGUUCCUUGGAACAGGACGUCAUAGAGGGUGAGAAUCCCGUAUGCGACCGGCGCGCACCCUCCACGUAGCUCCUUCGACGAGUCGAGUUGUUUGGGAAUGCAGCUCUAAAUGGGAGGUAAAUUUCUUCUAAAGCUAAAUAUUGGCCAGAGACCGAUAGCGCACAAGUAGAGUGAUCGAAAGAUGAAAAGCACUUUGGAAAGAGAGUUAAAAAGCACGUGAAAUUGUUGAAAGGGAAGCGCUUCCCACCAGACUCCGCGGCGGUGUUCCGCCGGUCUUCUGACCGGUCCACUCGCCGCCGUGGGGCCAGCAUCGUCUGGGGCCGCCGGAUAAGACCGCAGGAAUGUAGCUCACUGAGUGUUAUAGCCUGCGGUGAUGCGGCGCGCCCCGGGCGAGGUCCGCGCUUCGGCAAGGAUGCUGGCGUAAUGGUGGGCAGCGGCCCGUCUUGAAACACGGACCAAGGAGUCUAACAUCUAUGCGAGUGUUCGGGUGUCAAACCCCUACGCGUAAUGAAAGUGAACGGAGGUGGGAGCUUCGGCGCACCAUCGACCGAUCCUGAUGUCCUCGGAUGGAUUUGAGUAAGAGCAUAGCUGUUGGGACCCGAAAGAUGGUGAACUAUGCCUGAAUAGGGUGAAGCCAGAGGAAACUCUGGUGGAGGCUCGCAGCGGUUCUGACGUGCAAAUCGAUCGUCAAAUUUGGGUAUA
This 806-nucleotide ribosomal RNA is filed under the name Zasmidium cf. australiensis CPC 24679. RNAcentral's name for it is "eukaryotic LSU rRNA". It matches the Rfam family "Eukaryotic large subunit ribosomal RNA", at positions 77 to 919 of the family's 3401-position model. The record is from RNAcentral. Lineage: Eukaryota; Fungi; Ascomycota; Dothideomycetes; Mycosphaerellales; Mycosphaerellaceae.